UCUUAAAAUCAUUGUAUCAAUGGUUCUUGAGAUAACGUAAGGGAUAAAAAUGAUAGUACCUUACUAUAAGUGUUGUCCAACUAUACUGGUGCCAGAAGACUCGGUAACGCCAGAAACGCAAACGUUAGUCGUCCUAAUCAGGCGUAAAGGGUAAGUAGGCUGCUUUGAAAGUUGUUAAUUAGAAAGCUCUUUAAAAAUUGUUUAAAGUAAUUAAUAAUGAAUUAAAGCUAGAAUCAAAUAGGGGAUAAGCCAAAUAAUAUUUAGUGUAAGGCUAAUAUCUUUAGAUACUAAAUGGAAUACUUAAGGU
Molecule: ribosomal RNA, 307 nt
Filed under: Lepiota magnispora
Lineage: Eukaryota; Fungi; Basidiomycota; Agaricomycetes; Agaricales; Agaricaceae
Description: partial small subunit ribosomal RNA
Rfam family: Bacterial small subunit ribosomal RNA
Source: RNAcentral